UCCAGCAGCUCGGUCCUAUUGAUUCAGCAGUAAACAAAGCCAAAGUGGACCCUCCCUUCAGGGAACCCACCUUCCACCUGGGAAGAGACGCAUUGAUGCGGUGAGAAUAAAUAUGAGAAACUCAGAGCUCUGCAAUCUUGGCCCCAGUGGAGAUGGAUGGAGUUAACUGACGUCUCUGCUUCGGAAGAGGCCUGGAUCUCAUAGCGGGUAUGUUCAAAACUAUUAAAGAGAAUGAUUUUUAUGACUAUAGAUACUCCAUUUGGGGU
Molecule: long non-coding RNA, 266 nt
Organism: Bos indicus x Bos taurus (hybrid cattle)
Lineage: Eukaryota; Metazoa; Chordata; Mammalia; Artiodactyla; Bovidae
Source: Ensembl